RNAcentral lists this ribosomal RNA (492 nucleotides) under uncultured bacterium. Its description in RNAcentral is "partial 16S ribosomal RNA". It matches the Rfam family "Bacterial small subunit ribosomal RNA", at positions 29 to 507 of the family's 1533-position model. The record is from RNAcentral.
AGUGAACGCUGGCGGUAGGCCUAACACAUGCAAGUCGAACGGCAGCACAGUAAGAGCUUGCUCUUACGGGUGGCGAGUGGCGGACGGGUGAGGAAUACAUCGGAAUCUACUUUUUCGUGGGGGCUAACGUAGGGAAACUUACGCUAAUACCGCAUACGACCUACGGGUGAAAGCAGGGGAUCUUCGGACCUUGCGCGAUUGAAUGAGCCGAUGUCGGAUUAGCUAGUUGGCGGGGUAAAGGCCCACCAAGGCGACGAUCCGUAGCUGGUCUGAGAGGAUGAUCAGCCACACUGGAACUGAGACACGGUCCAGACUCCUACGGGAGGCAGCAGUGGGGAAUAUUAGACAAUGGGCGCAAGCCUGAUCCAGCCAUACCGCGUGGGUGAAGAAGGCCUUCGGGUUGUAGAGCCCUUUUGUUGGGAAAGAAAAGCAGCAGGUUAAUACCCCGCUGUUCUGACGGUACCCAAAGAAUAAGCACCGGCUAACUUCGUG